UCCUGCCUCUCCUUGGGGUCCCGGGUCAGGCCCGGCAGUAGGAGGUGCUGAGGCCACAGGCACUCCCCGAGGCGCUCAGCGAGCCCCACCCUGUGCAGGCUCGGCAUGGCUGCCCGGGGCCACAGCUGGCCCUGCCUGCAGCAGACGCCAACGUCCACCAGCUGCACCAUCACGGAUGUCCAGCUGUUCUCCAUGGCUCCCUACGUGCUCAAUGUCACCGCCGUCCACCCCUGGGGCUCCAGCAGCAGCUUCGUGCCUUUCAUAACAGAGCACAUCAUCAAGCCCGACCCUCCAGAAGGCGUGCGCCUAAGCCCCCUCGCUGAGCGCCAGCUACAGGUGCAGUGGGAGCCUCCCGGGUCCUGGCCCUUC
Molecule: small RNA, 369 nt
Filed under: Pan troglodytes (chimpanzee)
Lineage: Eukaryota; Metazoa; Chordata; Mammalia; Primates; Hominidae
Description: retained intron
Source: RNAcentral